UGGCCGUUUACCGUGACAAAAUUAGAGUGUUCAAAGCAGGCAGAUCCAAUUGUCUGCCACCGAAUACAUUAGCAUGGGAUAAUGGAAUAGGACCCUGUCCUCCUAUUUUCAGUUGGUUUGCCGCGAGGACCAGGGUAAUGAUUAAUAGGGAUAGUUGGGCAUUAAUAUUUAAUUGUCAGAGGUGAAAUUCUUGGAUUUAUGAAAGAUUAACUUCUGCGAAAGCAUCUCCAAGGAUGUUUCAUUAAUCAAGAACGAAAGUUAGGGGAUCGAAGACGAUCAGAUACCGUCGUAGUCUUAACCAUAAACGAUGCCGACCAGCGAUUAGGAGACGUUGAAUACAAAACACCAUGCGCAUUGCGGUCGUCUUUGGUGUCGCUCACAAGGCGGCACCGGGGCGGCUUAGCUCGCAUGGCACCGGUGAAUGACUCCCCUAGCAGCUUGUGAGAGGACGC
This 452-nucleotide ribosomal RNA is filed under the name Acanthamoeba sp. RNAcentral's name for it is "SSU rRNA". It matches the Rfam family "Eukaryotic small subunit ribosomal RNA", at positions 745 to 1101 of the family's 1831-position model. Lineage: Eukaryota; Discosea; Longamoebia; Acanthamoebidae. The record is from RNAcentral.